This 259-nucleotide small RNA is filed under the name Arabidopsis thaliana (thale cress). RNAcentral describes it as "ATSL229530". Lineage: Eukaryota; Viridiplantae; Streptophyta; Magnoliopsida; Brassicales; Brassicaceae. The record is from RNAcentral.
AUUAGGGUUUUACUUUUCACUGAAACAGGCCUAUUCCUUAUAAACGGCGAAAGAAAGAGAGGUUUUCGACCAGGGUGGACACGAAACGAAUAUUCGGGAUUUUGGUAGUAUUUGUGGUCCAAUUUGCUACGUCCGAAUAGUUAAUUUUCUGUUUUGUAUUUGCUUCGAAAGUAACCGAAUAUCCUGCUGCCCAGCUAUCCGUUAAAAUCUGAGCUAUUUGUCGGAUAUUCGAUUUUUUAUAUUUCAUUAAUAUAUAUAU